Molecule: long non-coding RNA, 568 nt
Filed under: Bos taurus (domestic cattle)
Lineage: Eukaryota; Metazoa; Chordata; Mammalia; Artiodactyla; Bovidae
Description: long non-coding RNA NONBTAT016584
Source: RNAcentral
GAGGAAAAUGGAACACUUUAUUCAAUAGAUGUUAUUAUAUUAAUAGAUGAAAUUUUCAUAUUAAGAUUUAAAUGGAAUUUUACUCCUUUAGCUGGAAUUUUAUAUUAAGAUUUUUCUCUCCAACUGAGUAGGUGAGUUAAUUCCUUUUGUUCUUACUGAAGAUGGUUAAACAUAAAAUCUGUUUUUAAGGGAGACUUCCAUGCAGUGAAUCUAGCUGAAGUGACAUUGAACGAUGUAAUACACCACAUACAGAUUCAUUUUUCAAUUUAAAUUAUUUGACAAAAGUGAAGAUGUCUUAUGUUUUGUAUGUGAUUUUCCACAUGCUACAUUCUGUAAACAGACUCCAUUUGAGCUACUUCCUGUAGUUUUGUCUGUAGCACUUUUCAGGAAUGACUUAUUUUGAGGCAGACUUUUUGCCUUUCUGUGAUGCAAUAAUUGCCUAUAGAGAAGCAACAGCUUUUCAAAUUGAAACUCGAGGCAGGGAGGUGGGGAGUCAUAGGUGGCAUAUAUUUAAUAUUUGGAGAAAAUUACAGAAUAUAGGCUAGAAAUUUGUUACUAAUCUGGGCUA